CCUACGGGGGGCAGCAGUGGGGAAUAUUGCACAAUGGGGGAAACCCUGAUGCAGCGACGCCGCGUGAGUGAAGAAGUAUUUCGGUAUGUAAAGCUCUAUCAGCAGGGAAGAAGAAAGACGGUACCUGACUAAGAAGCCCCGGCUAACUACGUGCCAGCAGCCGCGGUAAUACGUAGGGGGCAAGCGUUAUCCGGAUUUACUGGGUGUAAAGGGAGCGUAGACGGCUGUGCAAGUCUGAAGUGAAAGCCUAGGGCUCAACCCUGGGACUGCUUUGGAAACUGUGGAGCUAGAGUGCUGGAGAGGUAAGUGGAAUUCCUAGUGUAGCGGUGAAAUGCGUAGAUAUUAGGAGGAACACCAGUGGCGAAGGCGGCUUACUGGACAGUAACUGACGCUGAGGAGCGAAAGCGUGGGUAGCAAACAGGAUUAGAUACCCGGGUAGUC
RNAcentral lists this ribosomal RNA (441 nucleotides) under uncultured bacterium. RNAcentral describes it as "partial 16S ribosomal RNA". It matches the Rfam family "Bacterial small subunit ribosomal RNA", at positions 338 to 795 of the family's 1533-position model. The record is from RNAcentral.